Molecule: transfer RNA, 92 nt
Filed under: Christiangramia fulva
Lineage: Bacteria; Pseudomonadati; Bacteroidota; Flavobacteriia; Flavobacteriales; Flavobacteriaceae
Description: Gramella fulva tRNA-Ser
Rfam family: tRNA
About the family: Transfer RNA (tRNA) molecules are approximately 80 nucleotides in length. Their secondary structure includes four short double-helical elements and three loops (D, anti-codon, and T loops).
Source: RNAcentral
AGAGAGGUGGCCGAGCGGUCGAAGGCGCACGCCUGGAAAGUGUGUAUCCGCCUAACGGCGGAUCGAGGGUUCGAAUCCCUUCCUCUCUGCUA